This 857-nucleotide ribosomal RNA is filed under the name uncultured organism. RNAcentral describes it as "bacterial SSU rRNA". It matches the Rfam family "Bacterial small subunit ribosomal RNA", at positions 486 to 1339 of the family's 1533-position model. The record is from RNAcentral.
AUGAGUCACGGCUAAUUUGUGCCAGCAGCCGCGGUAAGACAAAUGUGGCAAGCGUUGUUCGGAAUCACUGGGCAUAAAGGGCACGUAGGCGGUGUAGUAAGUUAACUGUGAAAUCCCCCGGCUUAACUGGGGAACUGCAGUUAAUACUGCUAUACUAGAGUGCAGAAGAGGAGAGUGGAAUUCUAGGUGUAGCGGUGGAAUGCGAAGAUAUCUAGGAGAAGGCCGGUGGCGAAAGCGACUCUCUGGUCUGUCACUGACGCUGAGGUGCGAAAGUGUAGGUAGCGAACGGGAUUAGAUACCCCGGUAGUCUACACUGUAAACGAUGGGCACUAGAUGGUGGAAGCGCCGAUAGCUUUCUCCGUCGCAGUUAAUGCGUUAAGUGCCCCGCCUGGGGAGUAUGGCCGCAAGGUUAAAACUCAAAGGAAUUGACGGGGGCCCACACAAGCGGUGGAGGAUGUGGCUUAAUUCGAGGAUACGCGUAGAACCUUACCGAGGCUUGACAUGCAGGUGGUAGUGAAGUGAAAGCGGAACGACCCGAAUAGGGAGCCUGCACAGGUGCUGCAUGGCUGUCGGCAGCUCGUGUCGUGAGAUGUUAGGUUAAGUCCUGUAACGAGCGAAACCCUUGUGCUUAAUUGCCAGCACGUUAUGGUGGGGACCUUAAGCAGACUGCCCCGGCCAACGGGGAGGAAGGUGGGGAUGACGUCAAGUCAGCAUGGCCUUUAUGCCUCGGGCCGCACACGUCCUACAAUGGGCUGUACAAUGGGGGCCUAAACCGCGAGGUGGAGGAAAUCCUGUAAAGCAGCUCUCAGUUCGGAUUGCAGGCUGCAAUUCGCCUGCAUGAAGGUGGAAUCGCUAGU